RNAcentral lists this transfer RNA (72 nucleotides) under Spirochaetes bacterium GWB1_59_5. RNAcentral describes it as "tRNA-Glu". It matches the Rfam family "tRNA". From Rfam's summary of the family: Transfer RNA (tRNA) molecules are approximately 80 nucleotides in length. Their secondary structure includes four short double-helical elements and three loops (D, anti-codon, and T loops). Lineage: Bacteria; Pseudomonadati; Spirochaetota. The record is from RNAcentral.
GCCGAGUUGGUGCAGUGGCUAGCAUACGUGGCCUUCAACCACGCGAAGAGGGAUCGAAACCCUCACUCGGUA